Molecule: long non-coding RNA, 206 nt
Filed under: Malus domestica (apple)
Lineage: Eukaryota; Viridiplantae; Streptophyta; Magnoliopsida; Rosales; Rosaceae
Description: long non-coding RNA (MDOM_LNC018203)
Source: RNAcentral
GAAAGCAAGAGUAUCUCAUAUCAUGCUUUCUCCCUGUCAUUUCCUUUGUCCUUGUUCUUACCUACAAAGACAAGGAUAAAGAAAACAAUAUGCCGGAACCUCCACUCAAACUCGAGUAAGGAACCGACUGCUUGGAACCCUUCCCUGAUUGCCUACCUAGCACUGCUCUCGAGUACUCGUCUCCCACUGCUGCUGUACUUCCAAAG